AGCUGUUGUUUACUAAGGGAGUGUGUGACCAGUAUUUUUGGCUGUAACCUUGCAUAGCAAUCUCACUUUGCUGUGACCUGACAUUACUAAAUUUGCAAGUGGGACUGCUAAAAUUGAAUUUUAGGAAACUGGGCAUCAUCGAUAUUCUGAAAUUAGCCCCUCUUCAGCACGGUACUCAGUUUCACUCAACUUUAAGUGUGCUAAGUGUCAGUAAAAUCAGAGAGUCUUAUGUGUGUGCUUGCACAGCUGUUGAAUUACAAAAUUUUGAACACAUUGGUAAAAAUUGUUGUGUGCAUUGCUGUAUUUUGUAGACUGUGUAUUUUAAUCAGAAGCCUGAAAGUACCGAAUUGCAUUUGAUAAUCAAAUGCUGCUAGAUUAUUUUAGGUGGCGAAAAGUUUUUAUGUAUUCUUGGAGGAUCUCUUUAAGCAGUUUGAACAUUACAUGCCUCUUUCUGAAUAUGCAUGCUAAGGCAGUACUUUCUGAGAAUGCAUUUAGCUUAUAGGUUUUCAUGAUCCCUUUCAGAUUUUUUGUGUGCUCGAAUUCAUUGCAAAAUAUCAGCAGUUUGGACCAGUUUUAUACAUUAAAUAUAAAACUACCUUGGAUAUCUGUAAUGUACACUCAUUUGGCAGAGGUGUGUGGGAACUUCUUAUACUUUGGAGGGUUUUUUUUAACUAUUUGCAGACUUAAUUCACAGUUUGUUCCAUUAUUUAGGUUUGGUGAGGGAAAACUGGAAUUGCAAAAAUAACAGACAGCUUCUGUUGACCCUAAGUAGGAGGAAUGUCUCACUGUGCAAUCUAUUCCUAAGCAAUUUAGGAAAAAGAUUUAAGAAAACUGGGAGAGUGAAGGAGAAGGCUGUCAUCCAGUGAAAGAGCACCUAUCCAGCUGACACCUCAGGCUGACUUUGUCUCACACAUCAAACCACCACCUGCCUUGGUUAUAAGGAAGGGAUGAAGGAAGGUGAAAGAUACUCGGACAGAAGAAGCCAGCACAGAACUAAGAGCAGUAUGAAGGAAAGAUAUCUUCAGUCAAAGAGAACCCUCCAGGAGGAGCAACUCAUCAAAAGAGCAGAGAGGGAGCCUCUCCUGACACGCUACCUACAUCUACUGGAAGCACAAAAGAGCAGUCCCUCUAAAAGCCACAAGAGCAACGCUCUCAUUCCGCGAUGCACUAACUGCUUGAGGAAAGGUAACUGGAAAAUUCUGUGCAUGGACUCCCAAAGUG
Molecule: long non-coding RNA, 1221 nt
Filed under: Dromaius novaehollandiae (emu)
Lineage: Eukaryota; Metazoa; Chordata; Aves; Casuariiformes; Dromaiidae
Description: lncRNA (ENSDNVG00000005391.1)
Source: RNAcentral